Long non-coding RNA from Symphalangus syndactylus (siamang), 2294 nucleotides. RefSeq lists it as uncharacterized. The record is from RefSeq and is a predicted model, not a curated record. Lineage: Eukaryota; Metazoa; Chordata; Mammalia; Primates; Hylobatidae.
GACGGUUUUAAUUUCCAAAAGUUAAACAUGGGAAGCUCUAUAUAAAUUAAAUAACUACCUGGAAUUUAAACCAUGUAUAUAAGAAACAUAGAUUCUAUAUUUCAAAAUAAAAUAUAGCAUAAGACUUUAGAAGCAGAUUCUGCAUAUUAAGUAAUUAUUUGAGAACAUGCCAUUGAUAAAGCUCUUGAGUGUUAGAGGUGAGGUUUCCCUUCAAUUUUAAAAAACUUUUAAAAUCUUUUAACAUUUUAGCAAGUCUGGAUAAACAAAGUCAUAUAGAACUACUUUUGUUCUCUUAGGCUUUUGCUUUUUGUGUUCAAAAAAAAGGUUUGCGGUUGGGCGCAGUGGCUCACGCCUGUAAUCCCAGCACUUUGGGAGGCCGAGGCGGGCGGAUCACGAGGUCAGGAGAUCGAGACCAUCCUGGUUAACACGGUGAAACCCCGUCUCUACUAAAAAUACAAAAAAUUAGCCGGGCGCAGUGGCGGGCGCCUGUAGUCCCAGCUACUCGGGGGGCUGAGGCAGGAGAAUGGCGUGAACCCGGGAGGCGGAGCCUGCAGUGAGCCGAGAUUGCGCCACUGCACUCCGGGAUGGGCGAAAGAGCGAGACCCUGUCUCAAAAAAAAAAAAAAAAGGUUUGCAAAAUACUCUGGGAAUAAUAAAAGGAUUAUUAACCUGACAUUAAUGUAACCUAUCUAAACAUUACAGAAAUCAAGAAAUACAAAUAGAUGACAUUAUUUUAUUCUUCUUAGGUUUUUAAUUAUAUUGCUUUAAACAUGUAAUGUGGGCAGUGUAGAUGUUAAUAUGGAAAUUCUUAUUUUUUAUUUCUUAAAUUAUAUAAAAUUAAAUUAGUCAUUUUAUAUAUAUUUAAAUUAAUGCUUUUGCCCUUGAAUUAUUCUAGCAGCCAGAAAAAUCUAGUUAAGCUUGUUAGCAUUAGACAAAAUAAAAAAGUGUAGAGAAAAAGAAAAGCGACUGUUCUGGUAUCAAUAAUGACAUAUUACAACCUUUUUUUGUACUAAAGUUUUUCUACAAAAACACGACAUUAAACUAAGGAUUGUUCAUUUUGAUGUGCGGGUUAAUGUUCAAGUCUCCAAAUACAAACUUCUAGUGUCUGCUCCACUUGUGUGCAAAUUAGGAAAUGCAAAAAUAAGAUCUCUUAUAUUGAUAGCUAUGUUUGUUUAGAUAAUCUUCAAAAUUUUAUAAUUUCUUAUAUUACCAAUCUCAUUCAUUUUGUUCAUGUGUCUCUUUAACAGCUGUUCAAAACAAGUUUUCUUCCCUUCCUCAUUCCUUCCUUCUGCCCUUCCUUCCCUUCCUUCUCUCUCUUCCCCUUCUCUUUUUUCUUCUUUCUUUCUUGUCCCUCUUCCCUAUCCUUCCUUUUUUUCUUUCUCCUCUCUUUUCUUCCCUUCUUUCCUACGUUACUCAUUAGUUUUUAGGUGUUUUUGUUUUAAAAUGCAGGGCAGCUUGGGUUAAGGGGUUAUCUAAUGCAAUAUAUUUUGCCAAACUGAGGUGCUGAACAAUGAAACAUUUCAGUUUAAACUUGCAUCAAGUCAGAAAACCUUCAAGUACAGUAUCAAGAGUUUUCUGACAAUGAAACUCCAAUACUGAAUGAUCAACUUUUAAAAUGUUACAGAUUCUGGCAGUUUCCCUCUUGCUAUCUUUGUAGUCUUUCUAAGUCAUCUAAACUAUUGAUUAGUUAUGUUAACUUCUUGUGUUGCAAAGAAAAAGAGCAUUUUUAGAAAUCUGACAAGAAAUUUUGUGAAAUUGCUACACAUAAUUUGUAUGUAAGUACAUAAAAGCACAAUACCAGCUAGCAUUGAAAAAUUUGAAUAAAGAUCAGAGAUUUCUCACUUUUUUCCACCCCUGUCCAAUAUACUGUGGUAUUAAAUAUUUAAUAUAUGUUCAUUCUUUCUCUUCCUCCCCCCAACCCCCACAAAGCUGUUAUCAAUCUGGACAGAUGAAUAAAUUUUGGCAAAAUAAGACUUGUUUAGAAUGAAAAUCAUAAUGCAGGGCCAGGCGUGGUGGCUCACGCCUGUAAUCCCAGUACUUUGGGAGGCUGAGGCGGGCAGAUCACCUGAGGUCGGGAGUUCAAGACCAGCCUGACCAACACGGACAAACUCCAUCUCUACUAAAAAUACAAAAAUUAGCUGGGCAUGGUGGCGCAUGCCUGUAAUCCUGGCUACUUGGGAGGCUGAGGCAGGAGAAUCACUUGUACCUGGGAGGCGGAGGUUGCAGUGAGUCGAGAUGGCACCAUUGCACUCCAGCGUGGGCCACAAGAGCGAAACUCCAUCUCAAAAAAGAAAA